AAAUUUGCUCGAGGUCCGAUCCUAAUUUUGAGGGAUUGCAUGCAUCUCAAAGAAGUAAGGUUAUAGACUUAGGCUUAUAAUACAUUUAUGGUUCCCAAUUUAUUGAGUUAACCUCUGCCUCUGAAAUGCUUCAAAUUCAUGAGGCAGAUGGGAGUUCUAAUAUAAAGAUGUUCGUUUCCUUGCUAUAUUUUGAGGAAAAUGAAAAUGAUUGAAUUUAAUAGAUUUUAUUUUACCCUUUGUAGAGAUUAGUGAACACGGAUGCUGUGAUGGAGCUCCUGCCUUGGAAAGAUAGACUUAAGAGUCUAUGGACGGUUCACAUACUAAUCAAAGCUUUAGGAAACAUGUCCAGUUAAACAUAGGUGAGAAUCAAGAAGAAUUUUAUCUUUUGAUUACUAUUGCUUUUAAUGUGUAGCCAAAAAUCAAUAAGAAACCUAGCAGCAUCAGUAAUGGGUAGUUUGAACAUUGACAUUAGUAGCAUACGAAUACAUGGGAUGGGAUAGCGAAGAAGCAUGAUGACUGACCUAUAUAUUCAUGUGUUUAUUAUAUAUUCAUGACCUAUAUAUUCAGAACACAGUGUCACGUCACUUUCAUCUCUGUAUUCCUUUUUUUCUUUUCCUUCACACAUUGCUUUCCUUCUUUUCUUUCUCCACCCCAUUUUGGUGAAAAACCAAAAGCUACUUUGCAAUCCUAUUCUACAAUGCUUUGACCAAUGCUUUCAAAAUUUAAAUUUCAAAAACCCCUCCAAAAUCAUUCUCUAAAAUUUGCUACAUUUCAUUUUUCUCUUAAAUUUUUUGUUUGUGGUCCUUUUGUCACACUCUAAGUGGAUCACUUUUAGUUUCGUAUUUUUAUUUUUAUUUACAUAGAAGGAAUUAUUGUCAUUCUUUGAAUUUCUUACUAUAGCGAGUUAGUGAGGUGCAUAACUUGAUUGUAUUUGAAAACUCCUCAUUAGACGUUGAAGUUAAUAUCACAUAACUUGAUUCGUAUGCUACAGCCACUUCAAAUCUGGUUUUGUGCACACUUAACUGAUUUUGUUUUAUACCUGGCAGAGAAUUCCAUGGAGAUCGAACCUUAAAUGAGAAACAAGUUGAGAUUCUUAAUGACAUCACUAUCAUUUUCAGAGGUAACCCUUAUUUCUUUCUAUUUUCCGUUACGUCAUUAUUUAUAAAAAAUAAUGUAACUACUUUGUUGUCAAUGAUUUGCAUUCUCCAAACUUCAUGUAUAGUAUUAUAAAAGAAUAAGCCACCAGACUCUCAAUGCAAAACAUGCCUAAUAAUCGGUAUAGUGCGGUAGGGCAUUCAACUCAAUAUCAUUUUGUUUUGGUUGUUUAACCAUGUUUUAAUUUCGAGUUUGUGCCUGAACUAACAUAAGUGGUACGAUGUUUUGGCAUCUAGAAUUAUUUUGAUGAUUGUCUUUUUCUACAGUUUUUGACCAAAUAUUACAGAGCAUGUCAUACGGAAAAAAUUAGAAAGGAAGGAGCAAGAAGAUUAGCUAAAGCUUGAGUGCAACUAAGAUAGAUACAGUUUGUAAUAAAUAUAAUACCCUUAAAUGUUGAAUAGAAUCACUGUCUAACAUUGUUUUUCCAAUAUAAUUAUGCUUAUUCAAUAGCUUUAAAGCAUUGCUUUAUUUUUUUCAAAUGCAUUGAUUUGGUGAAUUAGUCUUCAAUUAGAUUUAUUUUGGUUUUUUGUUUUUUAUUUUUCCUUUUUGUUGAUAGUUUCAUUGCAUUUUCUACGUUGCUCUAUAGUUUUUCAAUCACAUUAAUUAUUAACAUUCAUAUUCACGAUGAAGCUAAUUGUAUUAGUAUAAAACAAAAUACGUUUAAAACGUUCUCUUUAUUAAUCAAUUCUUAUAAGACGAGAGGUUAUAGUAUAUACUAUUGAUAUUAUUUUUUUUGUUCGAUCUGAUGUUAGCGAGGAAGAAUAUAUAUU
This 1925-nucleotide long non-coding RNA is filed under the name Trifolium pratense (red clover). RNAcentral describes it as "long non-coding RNA (TPRA_LNC003771)". Lineage: Eukaryota; Viridiplantae; Streptophyta; Magnoliopsida; Fabales; Fabaceae. The record is from RNAcentral.